GAUCCGUAGGUGAACCUGCGGAAGGAUCAUUAAUGAGUUGUCAUGGGGUUCGAUGCUGGCAGCCAAUCUUUGGAUGCAUGUGCUUGCCCUAACAAUCAUCUUCCAAACACCUGUGCACAUUUUUGAGGGAGUCUUGAGUUGGUUGCCGCUCUUGGGUGAUUUUCUCACAUUCCCUUAAAUCAUUAUACGCUAUUAACAAUGUUGAACGUGCUCUGUGCCGCAAGGCUAUUAAUAUAAUACAACUUUUAACAACGGAUCUCUUGGCUCUC
Molecule: unclassified non-coding RNA, 269 nt
Filed under: plant metagenome
Description: partial contains small subunit ribosomal RNA, internal transcribed spacer 1, and 5.8S ribosomal RNA
Source: RNAcentral